GCCAGGUGUGGUGGUGGACAUCUGUAAUCCUAGCUACUCAGGAGGCUGAGGCAGGGGGAUCACUUGAGCACAGGAGGUCAAGGCUACAGUGAGGCGUGAUUGCAUCACUGCACUCUAGCCUGGGCAACAGAGUGAGACUCCGUCUCAA
Molecule: non-coding RNA, 148 nt
Filed under: Chlorocebus sabaeus (green monkey)
Lineage: Eukaryota; Metazoa; Chordata; Mammalia; Primates; Cercopithecidae
Source: Rfam by way of RNAcentral